CUAAAAGGGAGAGAGUUGUUGCUGAGGAGGAAGAGUUGGAUUACUGAAGAAGUAUGAAGAGUCAAAUAUAGGGAAGGCAAGGGUGACAGACUAGAGGAAAUUAUGAGGAGACUGCAUGUGCCCAGAGGGGAAGAAGCUAGACAAAGACAGAGUUUCAAGAGAAGUGAGGACAGGGGAGAAGAAAGUUUGAGCUUUUAAGGGAUAGAUUUAGGCUUCACUCGUAGGAUCUAGAAUAAACCUGUUGUUCGUUCGUCUGAGGGCUGAUGGCCUUUUAGGCUGGGAAUUACAUUAAAAUAAUAAAUACUCCUUUGAUACCUAUACUAGCAUACCUCACACUUUGGGAA
RNAcentral lists this long non-coding RNA (344 nucleotides) under Homo sapiens (human). Its description in RNAcentral is "HSALNT0057090". The record is from RNAcentral. Lineage: Eukaryota; Metazoa; Chordata; Mammalia; Primates; Hominidae.